GCGGGUGUAGUUCAAUGGCAGAACUCCAGCCUUCCAAGCUGGUCGUGUGGGUUCGAUUCCCAUCACCCGCUCCA
Molecule: transfer RNA, 74 nt
Filed under: Clostridiales bacterium
Lineage: Bacteria; Bacillati; Bacillota; Clostridia; Eubacteriales
Also listed under: 1 other name
Description: tRNA-Gly
Rfam family: tRNA
About the family: Transfer RNA (tRNA) molecules are approximately 80 nucleotides in length. Their secondary structure includes four short double-helical elements and three loops (D, anti-codon, and T loops).
Source: RNAcentral